GCACUGCUGAGGAGUCCCACAAUAGGACGAAACAUNAAACAUCCGUCCAGUGC
RNAcentral lists this non-coding RNA (53 nucleotides) under Schistosoma margrebowiei. The record is from RNAcentral. Lineage: Eukaryota; Metazoa; Platyhelminthes; Trematoda; Strigeidida; Schistosomatidae.